CACAUGCAGUCGAGCGGGCGGUAGCAAUACGUCAGCGGCAGACGGGUGAGUAACGCGUGGGAACGUACCUUUUGGUUCGGAACAACACAGGGAAACUUGUGCUAUACCGGAUAAGCCCUUACGGGGAAAGAUUUAUCGCCGAAAGAUCGGCCCUGCGUCUGAUUAGCUAGUUGGUGUGGUAACGGCGCACCAAGGCGACGAUCAGUAGCUGGUCUGAGAGGAUGAUCAGCCACAUUGGGACUGAGACACGGUCCAAACUCCAUACGGGAGGCAGCAGUGGGGAAUAUUGGACAAUGGGCGCAAGCCUGAUCCAGCCAUGCCGCGUGAGUGAUGAAGGCCCUAGGGUUGUAAAGCUCUUUUGUGCGGGAAGAUAAUGACGGUACCGAAGAAUAAGCCCCGGUAACUUCGUGCCAGCAGCCGGGUAAUACGAAGGGGGCUAGCGUUGCUCGGAAAUACACUGGGCGUAAAGGGUGCGUAGGCGGGU
RNAcentral lists this ribosomal RNA (484 nucleotides) under uncultured bacterium. Its description in RNAcentral is "bacterial SSU rRNA". It matches the Rfam family "Bacterial small subunit ribosomal RNA", at positions 52 to 580 of the family's 1533-position model. The record is from RNAcentral.